GCCUUAGUAAUGGUAAAUUUGAUUGUGGUGAUCUGCUUGAUUCAUAGAGGGAAGUGCUGUACAAGAUCGAUUGGAGGUCAUCAGUGCACUCACAUCAUCAAUAAACAAGCCGGUUAUACUCUUGGAGAGAAAUCAUUUUAUAUGUCUGAAGACAAAUUAGAUUCAUCGCAUGAACACAUUUUAUUGGAGAAACUAGAAG
Molecule: long non-coding RNA, 199 nt
Organism: Centruroides sculpturatus (bark scorpion)
Lineage: Eukaryota; Metazoa; Arthropoda; Arachnida; Scorpiones; Buthidae
Exons: 2
Source: RefSeq, a predicted model, not a curated record